Long non-coding RNA from Patella vulgata (common limpet), 619 nucleotides. RefSeq lists it as uncharacterized. The transcript is spliced from 3 exons. NCBI's taxonomy places the organism in Eukaryota, Metazoa, Mollusca, Gastropoda, Patellidae. The record is from RefSeq and is a predicted model, not a curated record.
UAUGACUUUAAGUAAAGUCAACCAUGCACGUGAUCUAAUAGUAUCAAGCGAUUCUAGAACAUGGAUGGAAGCUGAUAAAGCCUGUACAGACAAUGACCAAAGACUCCUAUCUUUUAUAAACAAUGGAAAUGUUGGAGAUUUAAACACGUUAUUUACUAUGAUGAAUAGUGAAGGCUUAUUAAUGAAUUCCUCUGUAUGGACUGGAUUACGUCUGCACGGUGGCGAAGAUAGUUUUAUGUGGGAUAACUGUAAUAUAUCUGAUGUUGAUUUACCGUGGGCGAUAGACCAGCCACGGCAGUUUCAAAAUAACACUUGUGUUGCCCUGCAUUGGUCAACACUUAAACUUCAUACAUUCAAAUGUUUGAUCAACUACCAGUUUAUUUGCGAAAUUCCUCACGCGAACUGUUGGAUUGAAGCAUUUCCGUUUCAUAUGCCAGGUCCAGGUAUCGGCCAAAUAGCCACGGGUAGUUUAACAUACUUAGAAUGUGUAGAAGAUUGUAUUAAUACUGCUCUUGGCCCUCAAUCAUGUGUACUUUUUCAAAUGGCGGGUGGCAUAUGUUCCAUCUCGGUAUCAUCUAAUUCAUACAUCAACUCCAAACCACCUCUUAUAGGAGUUGCA